RNAcentral lists this ribosomal RNA (1824 nucleotides) under Triticum aestivum (bread wheat). RNAcentral's name for it is "partial small subunit ribosomal RNA". Lineage: Eukaryota; Viridiplantae; Streptophyta; Magnoliopsida; Poales; Poaceae. The record is from RNAcentral.
AUGAUCAUCCUCUUACUACUCAUUCUCGGCUUCAAGCCAUUGGUCACCGCGGCCGAUCCACUGGCGUGGCGCUGUGACUCCCAUUUCGGCAAUGAAGCUAGUACAUACAAAGCUAACAUUAAGCUCCUAUCUGCUGCACUAUCUAUGAGUGUCUCAUCCACACAAACUAUCUUUGGCAAGGGCUUCACGGGAACCGAACAUGAUCGCAUUUAUGGCACGGCGCAAUGCCGCGGCGAUGCCAAUGCAUCUGCCUGCCCCAGCUGCAUCACCACAGCAUUCCAGGACAUUAGGUGGCUGUGCGUACUCCAAACGGUCUCAGCUGUCUUGUAUGAGGACUGCAUCGUGCUGCUCCAAGAGACAGCCAAACAGGCAGCCUACAACUCCACAAUGAUGUACGCCACCGGCCGCCUGGAUAUCUUCCACGCACUCCCGCUGCUCUACUCUCUGGCACAGUGCAACCUGGACCUACCACCGAACGAUUGCUGGAAUUGCCUCAAGAAUAUCAGCAGCGCGGCAAAGAGUUUCUUCAAAGAGCAACACGGUGAAUGGAUUUCUGGUACGUGGUGCAAUUUCAGGUACAGCACGAAUCAGUUCUAUGAGGGCCAGCCCAUGCAGCAGAUCGACUGCACCUCCGUUUGUGUGAAAUCUUCAAUUUUAGGGCAUAUAAUAAAGGUUUUGAUCAUUACAACUGUUGUGCUUCUACUAGCAUCCUUUUUCUGCUUCAUCACUUGGUUUGGACUGGCUGUGGAUCUAAAAAAUCUCUUAGGCUGUUUAGACUUAUAUACAGCAUGUCCUGAAAGGGAAGGUGAAGAACUAGUCUGGGGAAUAGGGAGGAGUUCAGAGUUCAAGCUUUUUGACUUCUCACAAGUAUCAGAUGCUACAAGUAACUUCUCAGAUGAAAAUAAAUUGGGGCAAGGUGGCUUUGGCCCAGUAUACAAGGGCCAGCUUCCGAAAGGUAUGGAGAUUGCAAUCAAGAGACUUGCUUCAAACUCUUGCCAAGGUUUCACUGAGUUCAAAAAUGAAGUCCAACUCAUAGCCAAGCUCCAGCACACAAAUUUGGUUAGGCUGUUGGGAUGUUGCUCACAAGGAGAGGAGAAAAUAUUGAUCUAUGAAUAUUUGCCAAAUAAAAGCUUGGACUCCUUUAUCUUUGAUGAAACUAAAAAGGCUUUAUUAAAAUGGAAUAAAAGAAAAGUGAUCAUUGAAGGGAUAGCACAAGGACUUCUAUAUUUGCAUAAACACUCUCGGUUACGUGUCAUACAUAGGGAUCUUAAAGCAAGCAACAUUCUUUUGGACAGUGAAAUGAAUCCUAAAAUAUCAGAUUUUGGGCUUGCAAAAAUAUUCAGCUCAAAUGAUACUGAAGGAAACACAAAAAGGAUUGCUGGGACAUAUGGGUACAUGGCUCCCGAGUAUGCUUCAGAGGGUCUCUUCUCGAUCAAAUCUGAUGUAUUCAGCUUCGGUGUGCUAAUUCUUGAGAUCAUCCAUGGAAAAAGGAACUCAUGUUUCCAUCAAUUUGGGGACUUCUUCAACCUUCUUGGAUAUGCAUGGAAGUUGUGGAAAGAGGAAAGAUGGCUUGAGUUUGUCGAUGAAUCAAUAGUUUCAGAGUCACAUGCAUCAGAGACAAUGAGGUGUAUCAACAUCGCAUUGCUGUGUGUGCAAGAGAAUGCAGCUGACAGACCCACCACGAUAAGCGUGGUUACAAUGCUAAGCAGUGAAAGUAUGACCCUGCCUGAACCUAAGCAUCCAGCAUAUUUCCACAUAAGGGUAACAGAGGAAGAGCCGCUUAGUGCUAAUGAUGUGACAAUGUCUGCUCUACAGGGCAGAUAG